UACGUAGGGACCAAGCGUUGUUCGGAUUUACUGGGCGUAAAGGGCGCGUAGGCGGCCUAGCAAGUCACUUGUGAAAUCUCCGGGCUUAACUCGGAACUGCCAAGUGAAACUGCUGGGCUAGAGUGCAGAAGGGGCAAUCGGAAUUCUUGGUGUAGCGGUGAAAUGCGUAGAUAUCAAGAGGAACACCUGAGGUGAAGACGGGUUGCUGGGCUGACACUGACGCUGAUGCGCGAAAGCCAGGGGAGCAAACGGG
RNAcentral lists this ribosomal RNA (253 nucleotides) under uncultured bacterium. RNAcentral's name for it is "partial 16S ribosomal RNA". It matches the Rfam family "Bacterial small subunit ribosomal RNA", at positions 524 to 776 of the family's 1533-position model. The record is from RNAcentral.